UACAGAGGGUGCAAGCGUUGUUCGGAAUUAUUGGGCGUAAAGAGCGCGCAGGCGGUCGGAUAAGUCGAAUGUGAAAGCCCCCGGCUCAACUGGGGAGGGUCAUUCGAUACUGUUCGACUCGAAGGCAGGAGAGGGAAGUGGAAUUCCCGGUGUAGUGGUGAAAUGCGUAGAUAUCGGGAGGAACACCAGUGGCGAAGGCGACUUCCUGGCCUGUUCUUGACGCUGAGGCGCGAAAGCUAGGGGAGCAAACGGG
RNAcentral lists this ribosomal RNA (253 nucleotides) under uncultured bacterium. RNAcentral's name for it is "partial 16S ribosomal RNA". It matches the Rfam family "Bacterial small subunit ribosomal RNA", at positions 524 to 776 of the family's 1533-position model. The record is from RNAcentral.